UAUUUCCAGCCAACUUAUCUUCCUAUUUUGCCUAUGGGCUCUUCAACAUGUCAUCUCUCUCUACACGGUAUUUGCAGCCAGCUUCUCCUGAAACAUUUCUGCUGACAACACUCAAGUCAAAGUGUACCUCUUCAAUGGAGUUUUCAGUGACAAAGCAAGAAGUAGAAAUGAGAGAAAAAGAAAACAAGAAUGUUGGUGGAUUGCUAAAACUGUUCUUCAUCUUCUGUGAUUUAAUAUUGGUUUGUCAUAAGGAAUAAGGAUUAUGAAGGAUUAUGUCAUUGAGAGAAGUCAUAUGUAGAGAAGUGGCAUGCAUGGCCUUAGGAUUGAUUGAUUUUUAUUUUUUUAAGUCAAUGAUAUGGCUUGGUUCUGUGUUCCCACCCAAAUCUCAUCUUCUAGCUCCCAUAAUUCCCACAUGUUUUGGGAGGGACUGGGUGGAAAAUGAUUGAAUUAUGGGGGUGGGUCUUUUCCAUCCUGUUCUUGUAAUAAUGAAUGGGUCUCACGAGAUCUGAGAGUUUUAAAAAUGGGAGUUUCUCUGCACAAGCCCUCUCAUUGCCUGCUGCUACCGUGUAACCAGUGAUCUUUGUUUACUGUGAGAUGCUCUCUAUUGCCUCAGGCAAUGAGCUGUCCUAUAGAGUGCACAGUGGUCUGUGCUCCCUGCUUGGUUCCAGAGAGGGAAAACAAGCUGGGUGGGGUUGAACUGGGUAAAAACAAGCUGGUUGGGGCUGGACUGGGCAAGUCCAUCUAUACAUCCCUUAAUAGCAGGUGUAAGUAAGGCAUUUGAAGAUCUGCCAAAAACAUAAUAAAAAAGAGCUGCUGGACUGACAUUGUGUCUGUGACAAUGCAGUAGAAAAUGAACACCAGGGGUGAGUUCAAAGAUGAUCUUAGAAUCUAUAUCUCUAUAAAUAUCAAUCUAUUUUAGAUUCAAUCAAGGUGAUUCUGUGAUCAUUCACCAGUUUCCAUUAAGUAAUCAAUGUUUAAAUAAUGAACACCUUAACUAAUAUUCUUUUGAGAUAAUUAUACUUUGUAUGAUCUAAGAAAACAGUGAAGAUAUCCACAAGGGCAGUGCAUAUUAUAACAGCAAGGAAUGUUUAUUUUUUUUAUUUUUAUUUUUUAUUUUUGAGACUUGGUCUCGCUCUGUCACCCAGGCUGGAGUGCAGUGGCACGAUCCGGGCUCACUGCAACCUCCGCCUCCUGGGUUCAAGCGAUUGCCCUGCCUCAGCCUCCCAAGUAGCUGGGACUACAGGCAUGCACCACCAUGCCCAGCUAAUUUUUUUUUUUUUUUUUUUUGAGAGCGAGUCUUGCUCUUGUUGCCCAGGCUAGAGUGCAAUGGCGCAACCUUGGCUCACUGCAACCUCUGCCUCUUAGGUUCAAGUGAUUCUCCUGCCUCAGCCCCCUGAGUAGCUGAGAUUACAGAUGCCCGCCACCAUGCCCAGCUAAUUUUUGUAUUUUUAGUACAGACAGGGUUUCACCAUGUUGGCCAGGCUGGUCUCGAAUUCCUGACCUUGUGAUCUGCCUACCUCGGCCUCCCAAAGUUCUGGGAUUACAGGUGUAAGCCACCGCGCCUGGCCGCUAAUUUUUAUAUUUUCGGUUGAGACGGGGUUUCCCCAUAUUGGCCAGGUUGGUCUCGAACUCCUGACCUCAAGUGAUCUGCCCGUCUCGGCCUCCCAAAGUGCUGGGAUUAUAGGUGUAACUCAUUGCGCCCGGCCAGCAAGGACUCUUAUACCAUAACUUGACCAAUCCUU
Molecule: long non-coding RNA, 1742 nt
Organism: Macaca mulatta (Rhesus monkey)
Lineage: Eukaryota; Metazoa; Chordata; Mammalia; Primates; Cercopithecidae
Source: Ensembl